UAGGGAAUCUUCCACAAUGGACGCAAGUCUGAUGGAGCAACGCCGCGUGAGUGAAGAAGGUUUUCGGAUCGUAAAGCUCUGUUGUUGGUGAAGAAGGAUAGAGGCAGUAACUGGUCUUUAUUUGACGGUAAUCAACCAGAAAGUCACGGCUAACUACGUGCCAGCAGCCGCGGUAAUACGUAGGUGGCAAGCGUUGUCCGGAUUUAUUGGGCGUAAAGCGAGCGCAGGCGGAAUGAUAAGUCUGAUGUGAAAGCCCACGGCUCAACCGUGGAACUGCAUCGGAAACUGUCAUUCUUGAGUGCAGAAGAGGAGAGUGGAAUUCCAUGUGUAGCGGUGGAAUGCGUAGAUAUAUGGAAGAACACCAGUGGCGAAGGCGGCUCUCUGGUCUGCAACUGACGAUGAGGCUCGAAAGCAUGGGUAGCGAACAGG
Molecule: ribosomal RNA, 429 nt
Filed under: bacterium
Lineage: Bacteria
Also listed under: 1 other name
Description: partial 16S ribosomal RNA
Rfam family: Bacterial small subunit ribosomal RNA
Source: RNAcentral